Diorhabda carinulata is the source of this 3807-nucleotide long non-coding RNA. RefSeq lists it as uncharacterized. Lineage: Eukaryota; Metazoa; Arthropoda; Insecta; Coleoptera; Chrysomelidae. The record is from RefSeq and is a predicted model, not a curated record. The transcript is spliced from 2 exons.
GCACUGGAAUAGAAGUUCAGGACGAUUUUCAACGCCAUCUAUGUUACUGGCUCACAUCUAAAAGCUUACUUUUUGGUGCUUUAUUUUUGAAUGUUUGUCAAUCUGGAUUCUGAAACUAAGUUGCAAUCAUGCAUCGAGAAACAACCAAGAUUAUUGAAUGAGCAACGUCCAUCUUGCAAAGGUGUUUGAUAUUGUUUGUUUAUUAGCUAUUUGCAUUUUUGUGCAUUUAAAAAGUUAUUAUUUGUUGCGAAUUGUGCUGUCGUGUUUACUUACUCAAUAUGAGUAAACGAGUGAAGGCCUGCUGUGUACCAGGAUGUACGAAUAAGCAAGCGAUAAGACACUCCAUUUCUACGUAUGAAGACGUUUGCAGAAUUUGCUUGCAAAAAAUAAAUAACUUCCAAGUUAUUCCUUGCAGAUACAGUAUUAUCAUUACAUAGAAUAUGUGAUACUCAUUUUGAACCAAUUUGUGGAAACCCCAAUGGCAGGUUAAAGUUUCACUGCCAACUCUACAUUUACCUGGUAAGUACUUAUAUUUAUUGUGACAAUAAACCUCUUAUGAAUCAUAGUGAAUAGUUAUGCAGAGGAAAAGAAUUGCUAUUUCCUCUAAUAGUCAAUGUACCAAUUUAUAAACCAUUCAAUACAAGCUCAAAAUAUACAGGAUAGAUCUUGUUACUCCUUAUGUGUCAGGUUCGGUAGCGAAGAAAUUAUUUAAAAAUCUCAAAUUCACUAAUAUAUUCUAGGAAACAUAAAAAAAUGUUUUAUGUGUGCCUUCAGCAAAAUUCUGUGAUAUUUUUAAAAGUUUUUCUGAUAAAAAUUUCAAAAUAUUGCCCCAGUUAAUCAAUUUAUUAGGCAUAAAGAAACAAAUAUUUCGUUUGGAGGAUUUGACAGACAUAUCCACAAUAUUCUGUUCAGAUCAUAAGGAUUAUGUAAAUAUGUUUGUAAAUAUUAGUUUUAACAUAUGCAUCUUUCAUUACAUAGUUAUUAUUAUUGAAAUUUUGAAGGGCAAAAUUUUAAAUGAAACCAAAAUAUUUUACAAAAUACUUCAUUUAAACUGCAUUUUAAUUUCAAGUAAUUAUAUUUUCUUGUAAACAACAAUAUUUGAAUUUAAAAUGCUAGUUAUUAUCAAAUUUCUCGCGAAUUUAGCAUGAAUAUGAACCUCAGAUCAAAUCUUUGAUUAUAGAAAUCUUUUUUCUUGGUACGGAGCCAUCUCUGAGAGAUGUCGCUAGGAUUGAACUUUGUCGUCAAAUUUUUAUACAGAGUGGCAGAUCUGUCGAGUAUAUAAUGUUUGAGUUAACUUCAAAUUUCACUUUUAUAAUGAAGGUUAUCCGCUUUGUCUACAUGCCCAAUAAAACAAAAUCCUGCCUACAGCGAUAGUAGCGACCUCAAGACGUUUGUAGGAGUAACUAAAAAAUAUGUUUGACCUUGAGAGAACUAAAAAUAGUUCUGUGGAAAAUAUAAUGAAAAAAAGUUUUCAGUUUUUAUUAAUUUAUUAUUUCACUUAUUCCGCUCUUUGUUAUCAUUGAACUUUCAAAAUUGAAUCAUUUAAUGCACUACAGAAGGUUAAAAAUACCUUUUGAUAGUUAUAUGCUUAAUAAUAUUUAUUAAAUAUAGAAAAAUGUGCUCAAUCGACAUCGAGCUUUUUGAAAUGUCCAUAGUAACCCAAAGUUUCAGAAUUCUCAAGUGGUUGCGAUCUCAAGGAUUCAUUAACCUUCAUUGUUUUUAUUUUAUCGAAUCUAUCACUGUAUUCUCUGAAUUUCAUCUUCCAUAAAUCUGUAACAAUAAAUGAGGUUAAGAAAUUAUUAAAUUGGCAGUAGAUGGGCAAGGGCAACUAAAAGUCAUAAUCUCUGCCAUGUUGUAAGCGACCCUAAGCAAAAUUAAAGAACGGGGUCAUGAAGAGCCACAUUCGAUCAAACCUAGUGAAACAACAGCUACCCUUAAUUGAACUCAGCUGAUACUAAAUACCUCGGAUUAAUUUGAAAUUUUUGGAAGUCUCUGAAGACGAUAACUUGGCUGGAUAAGGUAAUAUCCUUACGGCUAUAGGAACUUGUCGGAAGCUCCUUGGAAAUAUAAGCUUAAAAUGUUUUACUGGAUAUACUAAAAGGUCAUCGCUUGUUUAGGGAUCGGAAACUGAACAAACAACAGCUUAGAAAAAACCGAACAACAUUCAAAAGCUGAGUUGUCUUGGUAUCACAGGGACAACAUCAACCACAGCCAUAGAGGCUUUGCUAAAUCUGCCUUUUCUUCACCUUAUAGUAAAAAUGGAGAUGCCCAAGCAAUUUACCUUGUAAAUCAUCUAAAGAUCUUUCCGUGCCUCCAUAAUCACUUGGUAAUAUAGAUUUCGGAAUGUAAUUAUACAAAGUUUCGAAAUUUUCAUGCAUGAUAAUCUAAAAUUCAUUAUUUAAUAGUUUCGAAAGCAAUUUUCAUAUUCAAUUAGCUUCUUAAACUCACCCUAUCCAUAAAUUUCUUUUUAAUAACUGUUUUCGCAAUCGUCAAUAGUAUUUUCACAAGAUCAUGUUUGUAAUUUAGUAUAUGAAUUUCAGCUAUUCGAAGACUUUUACUUUUCUGAAAUCGAAUAAAAAAUACUAUUAUUUCUAAUUCAUACCAUCACCUUUUCAUUUCAAAUCACCCCAGAUACACAAUUCUAUAGGAAAAAAUGUCAUUGAGGAAACGUAUUAUGGUGAUUUUUGCAUAGUGUAGCCAUCAGUCUACCAAAAAUACCAUCAAGUAUGAAAUAGUACAGUCACUACAAUUAAGUUGGUAUUUCUGGAACCUUUGGUUAGGUAGGCCUACUAGAUGAUAAAAACUUAGUUUUCUGGUGAUAUCCAACUAAAAUCGGAAAAACUGUACCCGUAGCUUAUCAAACAAAGAAAGUUCUACGAAAAAUGACACUUGACAGACGUUUAAUGUCUUGACUUAUGAAAUUGAGGGAAAAGAAGACUUACCUCCAAUAAAAACAAUACUUUUUUAAAGAAUAUCGGUGUAGCUUUACGAAGAUGUGCCAUCUUCAUGUCUUUGUUAUCAAAAAUAACCACCAAAGCAGAAAAGAGGUCUUCGAAAGUUGAUACUUCGAGCACAUUUAUUGCAUGUGUUACUAUUUUGUGCGGAUCGAAUAUUUCGACGUUUUCCCCGCAUUUUAUUAUUAUUAUUCGAUACAGCUGAUCAGUCAACUUUGGUAACGGGAUUAUUGUUCUAAAAUAUCAAAAAAUUUUGUCAUAAAUUAGCUGCAGGAUACUUGUAACAAUAGUUUGAAGAUAUUUUAUUCAAUUGCGAUGCUUGCUUUUUUAAAAUAUGGUAAAUUGGACGUUACAUCCUCAAACAGUUCUCCAAAAUGUGUAUCUAGUUAUAGACCCAGAACUGUGGCCGAUGUUGUUGAAGAAAACGAAGCGGUUUCAGCUCUUGAACAAUGGAUAUCAGUAGCACCAAAUAACUUUUUGAAUAAAACUAUUUAGAAAAAAUUUUGAACUUAAAUAUUUUGGAUGAACGAAUCAUCGUCGGAGGGGCCGACUCCCUGCAGGUGGGUCCGUGUUUCUUAAUAUAGUAGUGGAUAAAAUAUAGUAUUUUACAUGCGUAUAAUGGCUAUUUUUUACUUAGUAAAUAAAUAGUCGUUCGUUGUAGAAUAUACAACUUAUUACUCACGUAAUUUUAGGCAAAGUUUCUUGAUAAUUUGGUAGGUUCGGAUCACUAUCUUCAAAAAUUUCUGGUAGUAGUUCUCGAGCUGUAUAAUUCAUAUCCAAAACCUUUUUGGUUUUUUCAAUGCUAUAUUUACAAUUUGUUAAAUAGAAUUCUAUUACUUCGUCAGCUGCAAAA